Molecule: ribosomal RNA, 1322 nt
Filed under: Streptomyces phyllanthi
Lineage: Bacteria; Bacillati; Actinomycetota; Actinomycetes; Kitasatosporales; Streptomycetaceae
Description: partial 23S ribosomal RNA
Rfam family: Bacterial large subunit ribosomal RNA
Source: RNAcentral
AUGGCGGCCCGUACCCUAAACCGACUCAGGUGGUCUGGUAGAGAAUACCGAGGCGUUCGGGUGAACUAUGGUUAAGGAACUCGGCAAAAUGCCCCCGUAACUUCGGGAGAAGGGGGGCCACGUCCGGUGAGAGCACGUGCUGCUUGAGCUGGGGGUGGCCGCAGAGACCAGCGAGAAGCGACUGUUUACUAAAAACACAGGUCCGUGCGAAGCCGUAAGGCGAUGUAUACGGACUGACGCCUGCCCGGUGCUGGAACGUUAAGGGGACCGGUUAGCUCCAUUUCGGUGGGGCGAAGCUGAGAACUUAAGCGCCAGUAAACGGCGGUGGUAACUAUAACCAUCCUAAGGUAGCGAAAUUCCUUGUCGGGUAAGUUCCGACCUGCACGAAUGGCGUAACGACUUCUCGACUGUCUCAACCAUAGGCCCGGUGAAAUUGCACUACGAGUAAAGAUGCUCGUUUCGCGCAGCAGGACGGAAAGACCCCGGGACCUUUACUACAGUUUGAUAUUGGUGUUCGGUUCGGCUUGUGUAGGAUAGCUGGGAGACUGUGAACUCUGGACGCCAGUUCAGGGGGAGUCGUCGUUGAAAUACCAGUCUGGUCGUGCUGGAUGUCUAACCUGGGUCCGUGAUCCGGAUCAGGGACAGUGUCUGAUGGGUAGUUUAACUGGGGCGGUUGCCUCCUAAAGGGUAACGGAGGCGCCCAAAGGUUCCCUCAGCCUGGUUGGCAAUCAGGUGUUGAGUGUAAGUGCACAAGGGAGCUUGACUGUGAGACCGACGGGUCGAGCAGGGACGAAAGUCGGGACUAGUGAUCCGGCGGUGGCUUGUGGAAGCGCCGUCGCUCAACGGAUAAAAGGUACCCCGGGGAUAACAGGCUGAUCUUCCCCAAGAGUCCAUAUCGACGGGAUGGUUUGGCACCUCGAUGUCGGCUCGUCGCAUCCUGGGGCUGGAGUCGGUCCCAAGGGUUGGGCUGUUCGCCCAUUAAAGCGGUACGCGAGCUGGGUUUAGAACGUCGUGAGACAGUUCGGUCCCUAUCCGCUGUGCGCGUAGGAGUCUUGAGAAGGGCUGUCCCUAGUACGAGAGGACCGGGACGGACGAACCUCUGGUGUGCCAGUUGUUCUGCCAAGGGCAUGGCUGGUUGGCUACGUUCGGGAGGGAUAACCGCUGAAAGCAUCUAAGCGGGAAGCCUGCUUCGAGAUGAGGACUCCCACCCACUUGAUGGGGUAAGGCUCCCAGUAGACGACUGGGUUGAUAGGCCGGAUAUGGAAGCACGGUAACGUGUGGAGUUGACCGGUACUAAUAGGCCGAGGGCUUGUCCUCAGUUG